This 26-nucleotide non-coding RNA is filed under the name Rattus norvegicus (Norway rat). Lineage: Eukaryota; Metazoa; Chordata; Mammalia; Rodentia; Muridae. The record is from RNAcentral.
UCCUUAAUCAUAGAUUCAGCCUUCCA